Molecule: long non-coding RNA, 415 nt
Organism: Brassica napus (rape)
Lineage: Eukaryota; Viridiplantae; Streptophyta; Magnoliopsida; Brassicales; Brassicaceae
Exons: 3
Source: RefSeq, a predicted model, not a curated record
GGUGCAAAUGGAAUUAGGGUUUCAACCCCAAAAACCUAUUCUUCUCCGUUGGCUCGGUCAUCGAAACGAAACAUGGGGUUCUUUCCAACCCUUUGACGUAGCAUCAAGGUCUGGUCGAUCUAUGCUAGCUGCUGAUUUUCGCUCUUUCACGAAGAACAACGAGUACAAUGAUGGAUCUCCGUUGAAUUCCCUAUGAAAAAAUCGGUUGUGGUUAUAACCCGCAUGAGCCUGUUCUCUCUAACUGUGCUAGAGAACAGCAUAUCAACAAUGAAAAGAAUAUUGCUCCUUCUGUCCCCAACAAACCUCUUUUUAACAUCACUCGUGAGGUUAAAAAUAUCAACCCCAAAUAAGCCUUUGUACCCAAUUCUUAAACAUGGAUUAGUUUCUGUCAAAUGGUUGAAUCAUCUUCUGUUUG